GAUGAACGCUGGCGGUAUGCUUAACACAUGCAAGUCGAACGGACUCUUCGGAGUGAGUGGCGGACGGGUGAGUAACGCGUGAGAAUCUGGGUUUGGGUUGGGGACAACCACUGGAAAAGGUGGCUAAUAUCGGAUGUGCCGAGAGGUAAAAGAGAAAUUGCCUGAAGAUGAGGUGGCGUCUGAUUAGCUAGUUGGUGAGGUAAAGGCUCACCAAGGCAGCGAUCAGUAGCUGGUCUGAGAGGAUGACCAGCAACAGGGGGACUGAGACACGGACCAGACUCCUACGGGAGGCAGCAGUGGAGAAUUUUCCGCAAGGGGAGAAAGCCUGACGGAGCAAUACCGCGUGGGGGAAGAAGGCUCUUGGGUUGUAAACCUCUUGCCUUAAGGAAGAACAAAAUGACGGUACCUAAGGAAGAAGCAUCGGCUAACUACGUG
This 435-nucleotide ribosomal RNA is filed under the name uncultured bacterium. RNAcentral's name for it is "partial 16S ribosomal RNA". It matches the Rfam family "Bacterial small subunit ribosomal RNA", at positions 28 to 507 of the family's 1533-position model. The record is from RNAcentral.